GGGUUGUGAGGUUAAGCGACUAAGCGUACACGGUGGAUGCCCUGGCAGUCAGAGGCGAUGAAGGACGUGCUAAUCUGCGAUAAGCGUCGGUAAGGUGAUAUGAACCGUUAUAACCGGCGAUUUCCGAAUGGGGAAACCCAGUGUGAUUCGUCACACUAUCAUUAACUGAAUCCAUAGGUUAAUGAGGCGAACCGGGGGAACUGAAACAUCUAAGUACCCCGAGGAAAAGAAAUCAACCGAGAUUCCCCCAGUAGCGGCGAGCGAACGGGGAGCAGCCCAGAGCCUGAAUCAGUGUGUGUGUUAGUGGAAGCGUCUGGAAAGGCGCGCGAUACAGGGUGACAGCCCCGUACACAAAAAUGCACAUGCUGUGAGCUCGAUGAGUAGGGCGGGACACGUGGUAUCCUGUCUGAAUAUGGGGGGACCAUCCUCCAAGGCUAAAUACUCCUGACUGACCGAUAGUGAACCAGUACCGUGAGGGAAAGGCGAAAAGAACCCCGGCGAGGGGAGUGAAAAAGAACCUGAAACCGUGUACGUACAAGCAGUGGGAGCACGCUUAGGCGUGUGACUGCGUACCUUUUGUAUAAUGGGUCAGCGACUUAUAUUCUGUAGCAAGGUUAACCGAAUAGGGGAGCCGAAGGGAAACCGAGUCUUAACUGGGCGUUAAGUUGCAGGGUAUAGACCCGAAACCCGGUGAUCUAGCCAUGGGCAGGUUGAAGGUUGGGUAACACUAACUGGAGGACCGAACCGACUAAUGUUGAAAAAUUAGCGGAUGACUUGUGGCUGGGGGUGAAAGGCCAAUCAAACCGGGAGAUAGCUGGUUCUCCCCGAAAGCUAUUUAGGUAGCGCCUCGUGAAUUCAUCUCCGGGGGUAGAGCACUGUUUCGGCAAGGGGGUCAUCCCGACUUACCAACCCGAUGCAAACUGCGAAUACCGGAGAAUGUUAUCACGGGAGACACACGGCGGGUGCUAACGUCCGUCGUGAAGAGGGAAACAACCCAGACCGCCAGCUAAGGUCCCAAAGUCAUGGUUAAGUGGGAAACGAUGUGGGAAGGCCCAGACAGCCAGGAUGUUGGCUUAGAAGCAGCCAUCAUUUAAAGAAAGCGUAAUAGCUCACUGGUCGAGUCGGCCUGCGCGGAAGAUGUAACGGGGCUAAACCAUGCACCGAAGCUGCGGCAGCGACGCUGGAUGCGUUGUUGGGUAGGGGAGCGUUCUGUAAGCCUGCGAAGGUGUGCUGUGAGGCAUGCUGGAGGUAUCAGAAGUGCGAAUGCUGACAUAAGUAACGAUAAAGCGGGUGAAAAGCCCGCUCGCCGGAAGACCAAGGGUUCCUGUCCAACGUUAAUCGGGGCAGGGUGAGUCGACCCCUAAGGCGAGGCCGAAAGGCGUAGUCGAUGGGAAACAGGUUAAUAUUCCUGUACUUGGUGUUACUGCGAAGGGGGGACGGAGAAGGCUAUGUUGGCCGGGCGACGGUUGUCCCGGUUUAAGCGUGUAGGCUGGUUUUCCAGGCAAAUCCGGAAAAUCAAGGCUGAGGCGUGAUGACGAGGCACUACGGUGCUGAAGCAACAAAUGCCCUGCUUCCAGGAAAAGCCUCUAAGCAUCAGGUAACAUCAAAUCGUACCCCAAACCGACACAGGUGGUCAGGUAGAGAAUACCAAGGCGCUUGAGAGAACUCGGG
This 1671-nucleotide ribosomal RNA is filed under the name Escherichia coli. Its description in RNAcentral is "bacterial LSU rRNA". It matches the Rfam family "Bacterial large subunit ribosomal RNA", at positions 1 to 1704 of the family's 2925-position model. The record is from RNAcentral. Lineage: Bacteria; Pseudomonadati; Pseudomonadota; Gammaproteobacteria; Enterobacterales; Enterobacteriaceae.